This 253-nucleotide ribosomal RNA is filed under the name uncultured bacterium. RNAcentral describes it as "partial 16S ribosomal RNA". It matches the Rfam family "Bacterial small subunit ribosomal RNA", at positions 524 to 776 of the family's 1533-position model. The record is from RNAcentral.
UACGUAGGGCGCAAGCGUUAUCCGGAAUUAUUGGGCGUAAAGAGCUCGUAGGCGGUUUGUCGCGUCUGCCGUGAAAGUCCGGGGCUCAACUCCGGAUCUGCGGUGGGUACGGGCAGACUAGAGUGAUGUAGGGGAGACUGGAAUUCCUGGUGUAGCGGUGAAAUGCGCAGAUAUCAGGGGGAACACCGGUGGCGAAGGCGGGUCUCUGGGCCGUAACUGACGCUGAGGAGCGAAAGCAUGGGGAGCGAACAGG